Molecule: long non-coding RNA, 286 nt
Filed under: Elaeis guineensis (African oil palm)
Lineage: Eukaryota; Viridiplantae; Streptophyta; Magnoliopsida; Arecales; Arecaceae
Description: long non-coding RNA (EGUI_LNC017676)
Source: RNAcentral
GGUCGAACUGGGUUGGGAUUUUCUGGCCCAUGGCCUAAGCCCGGCACAGCCCAUAAGGGCUUGGGCCGACACGGACGUGGGCCAGGCCCGAUCCAUUUGGGCCGUGCUAAGGCACGGCACCUUUGGCAUGGCCCGUUUAAGAUUUUUAAAAUUUUUUUAAAAAAUAUGCAUGAAUAAGUUAAAAAAAGGUUGGGGACUAGGAUUUAAAUAUACGGCCAUCUUAUUAGGUGGAAAGUUUGGCGUGGAUCCUUACCAGUUUAUUAAUAAAUAUCAAAAUAGUAUAGGA